Cyprinus carpio (common carp) is the source of this 1114-nucleotide long non-coding RNA. The record is from Ensembl. NCBI's taxonomy places the organism in Eukaryota, Metazoa, Chordata, Actinopteri, Cypriniformes, Cyprinidae.
GCGUUUAUCUUGGCCUGGAGCGUUCGUGUGGGUGGGCAGACGGACCCUAGAGACCUAAAUACGGCCUUACAGCAGUGUCAGCAGAGGCUCUGUCCAAAUGAAUAAUGCCACUGUAUUAGUCAUACAUAUAUAUUAGUCAUAUAUGCAUAUUUAUAAAAUGUGCAAACAAGAUGUCCUUCCAGGUUACAGACACGCGUUGUGAAAGUUAAGUGAGCUGCGGUCAGACCCGAUGAGUCAAGAAAUGAACACAAAUAUUAACACAAAACUGAGUGACCGUCAGGGCUGAAGUCAUACGCUACACAACUCAUGCAGGAAAAAAACAAACACAAACAUUUCAUCUAUUUAUAAACAUGGUUUCCACAAAAAGUAGCUUGUUGCAGUUGUGCUUCUUAAUUGUUUUAUUGAAUAUAUUUAGCUGAAAAUGUUUUAAAAUUGCCUUUAAUACAAAUGCAGAUUUUUUUUUUUUUUUAAGAAUAUGAACCAAACUUUGCAAAUGAAUGAGCCAAGACUAUCAACAUAUACAUAAUUUUUUUUUUUUUUUUUUUAGGAUUUUGAGAAGAGUAUAAGUUUUUUUUUAAGAGACAUAACAUUUAACUUUACUGUAUUUCAUGUAUUAACAGGUUUUCAUACCCACUAUAAUGGACAACAUGCCCCACUGGUCUCUUAAAGUCUCUUUUAGUCAAGACUUUAAGGUGGUGCAUUUACCCUCGUGUGCUCAGAGACGUGUCCACAGUGGACAUGUCCACCACAGUUCUGGGCCAGAGAGUCAGUAUGCCCAUCUGUGUGGCAGCUACUGCUAUGCAGCGAAUGGCGCAUCCGGACGGUGAAACGGCCACUGCAAGAGGUCAGACACCAUUAACUUACUCUGACCACAUGGUGGCACCAUAAGUCUUUCCUACAUUCUACAGUAUGUCCUGCUCCCAAUCACACUUAAACAACCCUAACAAAAAUGGAUCACGGUUACCAUAGUAUGAGCUAAUAUACUAUAGUUUCAGUGUGGCCCUAAUAUGGAAGUCCAUUUCUGCCACAUAAGAUAAAAAAACAAACAAACAAAAAAAAAAAACAUACUAAAUCAUAAUUAUGAAAUAAAAUUCAAAAUAUUGAAUUUAUGACA